AAAUCUGACUGCUACAGAAUCUAUAUCUGUCAAUCAAUGUAAGAAUGAAUACUGAGGGGUAGAAGGAUUGCCCUUCACUCUUUUUUACACCUUAGGCUGGGUUCACCUCACGUUUUUGCCAUACUGUUUUCAAUCCGUUUUUCUAAAGAAAACCGUAUGGCAAAAAAACGGAUGGAACAGUAUGGAAAUAAGUAAGCCGUAUGCGUUUUUAAACAGUAUACUGUUUUUAAAAGUGCAUACAGUUCCGUCAGUUUUUAUAGAAAAAAAAAAACCAUAAGAUUUUGAAAAUUUUGUCCAUUUUUAAUGGGAGGGGUCUUGGGUGGGGACUUUAGGAUUCAAAUGCGCACGUGCAAAGUAAAAAUGUAUACGUUUUUCCCGUAUGGAACUGUAUACAUGUGUGUUUCCCAUUGACGUCCAUGUUAAAAAAAAACGUAUGCGGCUGCAGUACGGUUUUUAAACCGGAGACAAAAUCGUGGUCAACCAGCACCCAGUUUUCCCCUCCCCCAACCGGAUCUGGCAACCGUAUGCUGCAAUCACGGUGUGAAUGGAGUCUAACAUUAUCUUGUGACCAUGGCAGCUGUCAGGGAGCUGACAAUUUGCUGCCCUGUGUACUGAGACUCUGUGACAUGCCCCCACCCCCCAGGCUGAUUGACAAGCCGGAGCAAACACAGAGCCCUGCUUGUCCCGCCCACACUUCCACACAAGGACAAGAUAGUGUUCUCGACAGGAGAGAUGCAUCAUGCUAUCUAUACUUGGCAAGCGCUUAGAGUAAAAAAGAUGGAUGCUAGGAGGAUUCCGUGCCAGGAAUACUUCAUUUACUACAAUACGGUACUUUUAAGCCUCUUCACCGCUCCUCAAAAGACUCAGUAACGAUGACUAGUGUCUCCCAGAUCUCGGACACAAGAGCUCGGUCUGCAUAAAAAGCUAAUAACUGUUUUGAGCGCAACACAAUGAGGUGAGUACCUUGGACCAUCUUCACCCUUGUGAUUAUUUGUUAUAAGAGUAACGGAGCUAUAUAGCUCCAUCUCCGUUCUCUUAUAUUAUGACAUAUUUGCAUCUUAAUCACAUACAGAAAAGGAGACACUUUACCCCCUCAGACCCACGUCAAAAACCACUAGCACCUUGCUGAUGAGAGGCAAGGACCCUGAAAAAGCAGUUUAAAGAUAGGUAGAAACUCUUAGCUUUUUAUGCACUAUUAUUGUGCAUAUUACAUGAUACAAUGCUAUGAAAAAGAAUUAACAACCUUUCCAAUUUCUUGUAAUUUUGCAUAUUUGUCACACUUGAUUGUUUCAGAAUAAAAAUGUUUAUUAAUCAAUUCGUUAUCCAAAUUCAAUUGACAAUUAAGAUAUAUUUCACGAGCCAAACCCAAGCAUGAUUCCUGCCAGACCCGUCAAAUCUAAACAUCAUGUAAAGGGAAUCUGUCAGUUUAUUUCAUGCUUAGAGCUCAAGUGUCAAGGAGGCAUUGCCGA
This is a long non-coding RNA of Hyla sarda, 1469 nucleotides long. RefSeq lists it as uncharacterized. The record is from RefSeq and is a predicted model, not a curated record. NCBI's taxonomy places the organism in Eukaryota, Metazoa, Chordata, Amphibia, Anura, Hylidae. The transcript has 3 exons.